UGCGAAUCACGUGAGUCCCUGGCGCAUUUCGGGUUCCGGCGGCUGCAGCCGGAGUUCAAGCCUAAGCAGUUGGAAGGGACCAUGGCCAACUGUGAGCGUACCUUCAUUGCGAUCAAACCAGAUGGGGUCCAGCGGGGUCUUGUCGGAGAGAUUAUCAAGCGUUUUGAGCAGAAAGGAUUCCGCCUUGUUGGUCUGAAAUUCAUGCAAGCUUUUGAAGACCUUCUCAAGGAACACUACAUUGACCUGAAGGACCGUCCGCUCUUUGCCGGCCUGGUGAAAUACAUGCACUCAGGGCCGGUAGUUGCCAUGGUCUGGGAGGGGCUGAAUGUGGUGAAGACAGGCCGAGUCAUGCUCGGGGAGACCAACCCUGCGGACUCCAAGCCUGGGACCAUCCGUGGAGACUUCUGCAUACAAGUUGGCAGGAACAUUAUACAUGACAGUGAUUCCAUGGAGAGUGCAGAGAAGGAGAUCGGCUUGUGGUUUCACCCUGAGGAACUGGUAGAUUACAUGAGCUGUGCUCAGAACUGGAUCUAUGAAUGA
Molecule: RNA transcript, 540 nt
Organism: Piliocolobus tephrosceles (Ugandan red Colobus)
Lineage: Eukaryota; Metazoa; Chordata; Mammalia; Primates; Cercopithecidae
Gene name: nucleoside diphosphate kinase A pseudogene
Exons: 1
Source: RefSeq, a predicted model, not a curated record